GGCGGACGGGUGAGUAAUAUAUAGUUAACCUGCCCUCGAGAAAGGAAUAACAGUUGGAAACGACUGCUAAUGCCCUAUAUGCCUUUAAGACAUAAGUCUGCAAGGGAAAUGCUUUAGUGCUCGAGGAUGGGACUGUACGGUAUCAGAUAGUUGGUGGGGUAAUGGCCUACCAAGUCAAUGACGCCUAACUGGUUUGAGAGGAUGAUCAGUCACACUGGAACUGAGACACGGUCCAGACUCCUACGGGAGGCAGCAGUGGGGAAUAUUGCACAAUGGAGGAAACUCUGAUGCAGCAACGCCGCGUGGAGGAUGACACAUUUCGGUGCGUAAACUCCUUUUAUAUAGGAAGAUAAUGACGGUACUAUAUGAAUAAGCGCCGGCUAACUCCGUGCCAGCAGCCGCGGUAAUACGGAGGGCGCAAGCGUUACUCGGAAUCACUGGGCGUAAAGAGCGUGUAGGCGGAUAGAUAAGUCAGAAGUGAAAUCCUAUGGCUCAACCAUAGAACUGCUUUUGAAACUGUUUAUCUAGAGUGUGGGAGAGGUAGAUGGAAUUUCUGGUGUAGGGGUAAAAUCCGUAGAGAUCAGAAGGAAUACCGAUUGCGAAGGCGAUCUACUGGAACAUAACUGACGCUGAGACGCGAAAGCGUGGGGAGCAAACAGGAUUAGAUACCCUGGUAGUCCACGCCCUAAACGAUGUUCACUAGUUGUUGUGAGGCUUGACCUUGCAGUAAUGCAGUUAACACAUUAAGU
RNAcentral lists this ribosomal RNA (749 nucleotides) under uncultured Arcobacter sp. RNAcentral describes it as "bacterial SSU rRNA". It matches the Rfam family "Bacterial small subunit ribosomal RNA", at positions 97 to 865 of the family's 1533-position model. The record is from RNAcentral. Lineage: Bacteria; Pseudomonadati; Campylobacterota; Epsilonproteobacteria; Campylobacterales; Arcobacteraceae.